CCUACGGGAGGCAGCAGUGGGGAAUAUUGCACAAUGGGGGAAACCCUGAUGCAGCGACGCCGCGUGAGUGAAGAAGUAUUUCGGUAUGUAAAGCUCUAUCAGCAGGGAAGAAAAUGACGGUACCUGAUUAAGAAGCCCCGGCUAACUACGUGCCAGCAGCCGCGGUCAUACGUCGGGGGCAAGCGUUAUCCGGAUUUACUGGGUGUAAAGGGAGCGUAGACGGGAGCACAAGUCUGGAGUGAAAUGCCGGGGCUUAACCCCGGAACUGCUUUGGAAACUGUGCAGCUAGAGUGCAGGAGAGGUAAGUGGAAUUCCUAGUGUAGCGGUGAAAUGCGUAGAUAUUAGGAGGAACACCAGUGGCGAAGGCGGCGUACUGGACUGUAACUGACGUUGAGGCUCGAAAGCGUGGGGAGCAAACAGGAUUAGAUACCCGUGUAGUC
RNAcentral lists this ribosomal RNA (440 nucleotides) under uncultured bacterium. RNAcentral describes it as "partial 16S ribosomal RNA". It matches the Rfam family "Bacterial small subunit ribosomal RNA", at positions 338 to 795 of the family's 1533-position model. The record is from RNAcentral.